UCAUAAUGGUCAUCAUCCCUUACCAACAAAAGGAAUGAGACAGACACAAACCUUGCAACAAAUCCAAAUCAAGAAAGAAAAAAUGUCACAGGAUUUGCUCCAAUACAAAAGAAAAGAUGAAAUAAAACGAAAAAAUGAAAAAGUAAAUCAAAAGCCCGCUAAGUCAAGAGCUUGAAAACAAGAUUGACUUAGGAAAAAGUUAGGGCAUCCCGGUGGGCUGUAGACCCAAAGGAUCA
RNAcentral lists this long non-coding RNA (236 nucleotides) under Lathyrus oleraceus (garden pea). RNAcentral's name for it is "Pisum sativum (pea) long non-coding RNA (PSAT_LNC033951)". Lineage: Eukaryota; Viridiplantae; Streptophyta; Magnoliopsida; Fabales; Fabaceae. The record is from RNAcentral.